This 254-nucleotide ribosomal RNA is filed under the name uncultured bacterium. RNAcentral's name for it is "partial 16S ribosomal RNA". It matches the Rfam family "Bacterial small subunit ribosomal RNA", at positions 524 to 777 of the family's 1533-position model. The record is from RNAcentral.
UACGGGGGGAGCAAGCGUUGUUCGGAUUUACUGGGCGUAAAGGGCGCGUAGGCGGCCCGCUAAGUCGAACGUGAAAUCCCCGGGCUCAACCCGGGAACUGCGUCCGAUACUGGCGGGCUUGAAUCCGGGAGAGGGAUGCGGAAUUCCAGGUGUAGCGGUGAAAUGCGUAGAUAUCUGGAGGAACACCGGUGGCGAAGGCGGCAUCCUGGACCGGUAUUGACGCUGAGGCGCGAAAGCCAGGGGAGCAAAGCGGG